Molecule: long non-coding RNA, 3874 nt
Organism: Colius striatus (speckled mousebird)
Lineage: Eukaryota; Metazoa; Chordata; Aves; Coliiformes; Coliidae
Exons: 2
Source: RefSeq, a predicted model, not a curated record
AGAGGGAGGCGCAGAAAGCCGCCAGAAAGCCGCCGCGCUCCGCCACAGGCCUGCGGCCACGUCCCUCCGCGGCCGCCCCGGCAGCCGCUCCCGCCGCCUCGGCCCCUUCUCCCUGCCCACCCGGCGCCGCCUGCCAAGUGCGAGUUGGCACCGCUCCCCCGGCCGCGCCGAACAAAGCCGUCGCCCAUCCCCGAGCCGACGCUGACAGUAAGCAAAGUGACAGGCGCAUCUUCCGCAUGUUAAUCCCGACGGCGAGGAGGGAACGAGCGGCAGCCCCCCCCUGCCCUGCCACGCACGGCCCCGCCACCGGCCCGCACGCCCCACCCUUGGCACCCGCCGGCCUCGUGCGGGGACGGCCGGGCCCCUGCCCGCGGCGGCGCCGGAGCCUUCCCCGGCCGCCGGCUUUGAACCGAGCCCGAGCAAACGAGGCCACUCGGCAUCUGCUGUACCUGUUCCCGCUGCCUUCAUCUCGCCUUGGAACCGUGACAAGAGCGCACUCGCCUCUGGUGGGCUCUCAAAGCCGCGGGGCUGUAACCCUUUGCAGGAAGUUGGCACAGAUCCCAGCAGCUCCUUCUGCCCAGCAGCCCAAACCCAAUGCGAGGGGAAAAGGGGAGAAGACAAAUCCAAUGGGAAGAGAAUAGCUCCAAGUCAGGACAAUGCCCGGGGAAGGGGAGAUUAGCGCAGCUCUGGAGACACUCCGCGCCCGCCCCGCUUGGCCCCGGCCUCGGCUCGGCUCAUUCUCCCGGCUCCUGAAUUAUUCCAGCCCACGGGCGGGAGGGGAACGUGCGGUCCCGGCUCCCUCCGAGCUGCCAAGAGCAUCGCAACGGGGAAGAAAGAAAAGCGAGAGAGAGGGAGAGCCAGGCUGAGCCCUCACAAUCGAGCAGCGAGAAGAGCAAGGAGAAAUUAACAUCCAAUUAGUGCUGUGUUUAACGAGGGAGACAGAGGCGGCUGUUGUUUUAUUGCCCUGUUCUUUCCAGGCGCAUCUGACAGGCAGCGGGGAGGGCACCCUGCUCCCAGUGACGUCAGUACAGGGGAGUUUUUAAUCAUCUCCCCCCCUCUCCCUUCUUUCCCCCCGUCUUUCCGUCUCCAAGUCUCACACGGACGGGCUCGGCCGGGGAGCCUCGGGACCUUCUCGCCUUCCAGCUGCCCGACUCCCCCUCCACCUUCCCCCCAUCCACCGACACCAACCCCGGAACAACAACCGCGCCAGCACCCCCCAGGCUUUGUCCUUCCAACAGCAGCAGCAAACCAACAAACAGAGAGAAAACAACCCCAAAUGAAGGUUGGGAUGAGCCGGAGGGAGCCCGGAGGAGGAUCCUGCGUGUGCGUGCGGCGUGCUGCGGCCGGCUCUCUCCUCUCCUCUCCCGUCUCUCCUCUCCCGGCCUCUCCCCACACGGCUCGCUCGCCUUGGCAAACUUCGCAGCAUGUGACGCGGCUCCGGCCUCCCCUGGCAGCCUGACAAGAGCUGCGGCCGCACGCAGGCGGCUCCGAGGGGACAGACUCUGCUCCCAGAGGCUGGGGAGGUAACACGCUCUGGGAAGGGCCUGGGGCCGCCUCGGCCCACGGCCGCCUCGGGCCCUCAGCAACGCCGGCCCGGCCAUCGCGGCGCGGGCAGAGCAACCACGGCACGAGCCGGAGGCUUCUCCCCCUGCCCGGCCCGCUGGGCCUCCUGCUGCACCCCGGCACGGAGGGGCCCGUGCGGGGCCCACGGGGAAGGGCUGGCCCCGGUCAGCCUGGGCCGCCAUCUCUUUCCCCCGAGGCCCAGGAUCUCCUCAGAGCGUUGCUGGCUGGCCCUGAGAGCUCUGCCAUCCUGGGAGGGGUGGAGGCAGUUCAGCAAGGGGGGAUUUGAGGGAGGGCUCCCCCAGGGAAGCCCCCACAGCAGCUCUUUGCUUUCACAAGCCCCAGCAGCUCGGGCUGCCAUGCUGAGCUUUCCCCCCGCACCCUCUGGGGCCUUUUCUCCUUGUUCCCAGCCAGGUGAAUCCAGCAGGACCCAGCCCCCCGUAACCUCUCUCUUUGGGCAUCACAAGGGAUGGGGCCACUCUGCAACCAGCGAGGACAGGGCUGGGCGAAGGCAGGGGAUGGGUCCAGGGCCACCCGGGUCCUGCGUCCAGCCCCUUGCCCUGGGCAUUCCCUGGCCCCAGCCAGUGCCACCUCCGUGGCCCCAGAACGCCCUCCAUGAGGGUUAUUAUUUAAUAGCUGUAUUUUUUAGUUAACUCUGUGCCUCCCUGGAGCUGCAGAAGGGCACAAACAGCCAGACCAGCGGCACUUCCUCGUGUGUGGCUGCGCGGCGGGGCCUGGCAGCGCCCGGCCUUCCUGCUGCCCAGGCACCGGGGUGACGGGCACCGCGCGCCGCUGGGAAGGGGCCGCAGGGCAGCUUCGCCGCCAGCCCCACUGCGAGGGGAGCAGCACAGCUGGGGGUUGGUUCACACUGAAAGGCCUUCAGCAGGACAGCUCUGUGUGUGGGGAGAGGCAAGGAGGAUGCAACCAGUCCAAGCUCAGCCGCACUUUCCCUGGGGACAAGGGCUUCAGCAGCACCCUCAUGUUCCCAAGCCCCCAGCACUCAGGCUCUGCAGAGUCAGGGCAGCAUUGACCUGAGUUUCCCUCUCCCAGCUGCCGCUGCCUCCCUUCUCCCUCCAGCAGCUGAGAGCAGAUGAGGCCAAAGUCCUGACAAUCUCUAUUUUCCACUGAAGGCUGAUAAAGCUCCCAGGCACAGAGCAGCAGCAAUCCCCACCCAUCCCUGUUCUGUGUAGGAGAGUCAAUAUUUAAACUCAACCUUUUUUUCCUGGGCAGACAAGGGAAGUGCUGGGGCUGCAGGUGAGAGCAAUCCCCAGCUCCAGCCCAGAAGCCAGACCCACACCUCUCUGUUUGCUGUGCGGGCUCCUGCGGGAGUGUGGUUUAUUGCUGUUAGCUGUGCCAUGUGAGCAUCAGCUGUGGGGCUGGGCACCUGCUAAUGAGGCAGCAAUAAGAGGGAGGGGGGAAGGCAGCCAGGCUUUGGGUUGCCUCUGCAUGCUGUGGGUGCAGAUGCUGUCUCCAGGGUGGGCAACCUCAAAAAGGAGCAUGAGACAAGAAGCAGCAGGGCUGGAAGGGGGAGGAGGCAAGGAAAUAUUUAGUCAUCCUCUGAAGAGCAGCCCCUGCUUCAGGGUAAGGCCGUGCUCUGGGAGCUUUGAAGGCUGGUUCAUCUCAAUGACCAAAAGCUCUGAGUGUUGUGUUUCCUGUGGGUUGCAGGGAGCUGGGCAGCAGUUGCUGGCAGGGUGCUUGAGCUGCUGUAGAUAGUGAAAUACCUGGGGUAAACUGCUCAAAGCAAAAGGAAACAGCCCCUCUCCUUGCAGUGGCUGCAGCCAGGCUGUGCACACGGGCUGUAGGAGCUUUCCCAGGCGUGUGACCAGCUGAGGGUGGCUGUGACUCUGAAGGUGUGUUCCUCAGCAGGGACUGUGUGCGUGGGACAGGCCCUGCCUGGUGCUGGAGCAGGUGAGAAACCAGCCCAUGCAGUAACAGGCUGCUGGGUAAAGAUCCUGUGGGCUGGGCAGGGAGCAGCUGAGCCCCCCCCCCCCCCCGACAGCUCUGACAAGCAAAGGGCCUCCCUCACCCCUUCCACAAGAGCUCAGGGUCGAUUUUCACUCCCCAUCCCUCCUUUUGUGUGCUUUGGUUCAGGCAGCCAAGCCCACUGCUGCCUCCAGCUGCUGCCACUGCUGUCUGCUCGGCCUAAACCCGCUGAACCUUCCACGGUGAGGAGGGCUGGGGGGGAAUCCGAAUCUGCACCAGCUGCUCUGGCCGCUGCUGUUGGGAAGGGACCAGACGAGGUGCCUGUGUUCCCUGGAACCUCCCCUACACGGGGGAGGCAGAAAGAAAUAACACUUUGUUUCAAGAAGCCACA